Chrysolophus pictus (golden pheasant) is the source of this 1784-nucleotide long non-coding RNA. The record is from Ensembl. Lineage: Eukaryota; Metazoa; Chordata; Aves; Galliformes; Phasianidae.
CUCCUAAAGGAGAGGAAAAGAAUUGAAUACCUGCCAGGGGAAGGAUUUAAGUUGACAAUUAAGCCAUCCCGAUGUCAACUGGCAAAUGACAAAACCAGCUCAGCAAUAAGGAAACUUGCAAAGAAAAACAGCAAAGAUGCAACCUUGGCAAACAGCACAUCCUUCGGUCCUCCAAAAUGCCAGCAAAGUUGUUCUCAUCAUCAGAGGUCUCCAUGUGGGAAAUACUAGAAGAACUGUCAUUUAGCAAACUUUCUAUUAUUGAGCAUAAAAUAAGGAAAACAAAAUAAACUGUGUUUCAUCUGCCUUUCAAACCAACAUAUCUAGAAACAAUUCUAUGAAGACUUUUUUACAUUUAGAGAUAAUCAGUGAAUAGCUAAUUGACUUAAUCAUCUUAAAUCGCCCCUCCCUAAAUAAGAGCUCUGGGGGCACUGUUUCCUCAAGAAAACAGGGCAGAAAAGCCAAGAAAAGCCAGAUGUUUCUGUUCUCAGAAUUUAAUUUCCAACAGCGAUACACAGUGAUACGGUGGAGGAUGACACACAAGCGAUAGAAGGAUUAUCAGCAAGUUGUGAAGCUAUGAAAACUACUCAGAUUCAAAAAUGAAUGUUAUCUAAACAAAGCUAUUUGUAAGAGAAGCUGGGAAGCAGUGGAACGAUGUAUUCAGAAACUUAUGAAAGGAUUUCCAAAAGUAACCACUCAUUAUAUCUGCUCGCAUGAGGUGGGGAAAAAAAUCCAACCUGUUGCUAACAAGUGCCGUGGUAGAAAAUAACAGCUAUUCUAUUAGGGAACACUAGGAAAAAAGCAGGAACACAUUUCAAUUCCUAGAGUAUCUGUGCCUGAAAGAAGUUUCUAACAAGAACUGAAUAACAGGCCACCUAUUAAUUACUAUGCAAGCGAAUGAACUAUGAUCCGAUGCUUCAAACAAACAAGCAAAAAACCCUCCAACACGAAGUAUUGCAUACACUCCAAAAGAAGAUCAAUUUUUUUUUUUUUUUUUGUGAAAUGUCCAUUUUCAAAGACAGACUACCUUCAAAUUUUAAGAUCAUAUCAAAUGAGAUUUUUUUUUUUUUUAAAUGGCAUCUGCAAAGUAAGCUCGGUGUAAAGCUGAGUCACAGCAGUCAUGUGCGGGACUCCUCCUCCAGGAGGCUAAUUGAGGAAGCUGCCUGUCCUUGCUUUAACCUACUAUCUCUGUUGAAGUCAUUUUGCCUCAUAAACCCCAUGGAGAUAUGAGACACAAGGCCAGUUUAUUUCUACAGUGGCCCUACUUUGUUCAGAAUUAUUGCCAAGGCUUAUUUGGAAGCCUUUAUUAGAGGAAAUAUGAGCAUUUGUACUUUGUGAAGAUUGCAAGAACUCAACUCAAAGUAUGGUUAAUAUAAUAUAAUGAAUAUGUUGUCUUCCUUCAAAUUUAAUAUGUUAGGAGAAAUACCAUUAGGUUAUCUAUCUAUAUACAUACGUUAAUCAGCUAUUAAAAUGUAGUGUGACUUGGCAUUGAUACAGUUAUUGCUUAGUUGCUACUUAGCUGUUCUGUGUGACAUUCCAUUUAGUGUUCUGGAGUUCUGUCCAUGUCUGUGCAUAUUUAGACACACAGCAAAUCUCUUAUGGUAUUCCUAUUAACAAAUAUUUUUGUUAUUUGUAUAACGUCUUCAUGAAAAUAAUAAUGCUUUCAGUUUUGCAUCAUUCUCUGUUUUGUAUAUUUGCUCCGGUUCUCACAGACCUUCUAAUCUGCAGGACACCAUGAGAUGAAAUCAUGAAAUAACAAUAAAGAGCCAUAUGCCAUAGGAAUAGCA